This 66-nucleotide transfer RNA is filed under the name Proechimys echinothrix. RNAcentral's name for it is "tRNA-Lys". Lineage: Eukaryota; Metazoa; Chordata; Mammalia; Rodentia; Echimyidae. The record is from RNAcentral.
CACUGUGAAGCUAAACAGCAUUAACCUUUUAAGUUAAAGAUUGAGAAAUUAAUUUCUCCACAGUGA